UCGGAAGGAUCAUUACAGUAUUCUUUUUGCCAGCGCUUAAUUGCGCGGCGAAAAAACCUUACACACAGUGUUUUUUGUUAUUACAAGAACUUUUGCUUUGGUCUGGACUAGAAAUAGUUUGGGCCAGAGGUUACUGAACUAAACUUCAAUAUUUAUAUUGAAUUGUUAUUUAUUUAAUUGUCAAUUUGUUGAUUAAAUUCAAAAAAUCUUCAAAACUUUCAACAACGGAUCUCUUGGUUCUCGCAUCGAUGAAGAACGCAGCGAAAUGCGAUAAGUAAUAUGAAUUGCAGAUUUUCGUGAAUCAUCGAAUCUUUGAACGCACAUUGCGCCCUCUGGUAUUCCAGAGGGCAUGCCUGUUUGAGCGUCAUUUCUCUCUCAAACCUUCGGGUUUGGUAUUGAGUGAUACUCUUAGUCGAACUAGGCGUUUGCUUGAAAUGUAUUGGCAUGAGUGGUACUGGAUAGUGCUAUAUGACUUUCAAUGUAUUAGGUUUAUCCAACUCGUUGAAUAGUUUAAUGGUAUAUUUCUCGGUAUUCUAGGCUCGGCCUUACAAUAUAACAAACAAGUUUGACCUCAAAUCAGGUAGGACUACCCGCUGAACUUAAGCAUA
Molecule: ribosomal RNA, 608 nt
Filed under: Debaryomyces sp.
Lineage: Eukaryota; Fungi; Ascomycota; Pichiomycetes; Serinales; Debaryomycetaceae
Description: eukaryotic LSU rRNA
Rfam family: 5.8S ribosomal RNA (bases 214-367)
Source: RNAcentral